Daphnia magna is the source of this 1076-nucleotide long non-coding RNA. RefSeq lists it as uncharacterized. The transcript is spliced from 3 exons. The record is from RefSeq and is a predicted model, not a curated record. Lineage: Eukaryota; Metazoa; Arthropoda; Branchiopoda; Diplostraca; Daphniidae.
UGCUGAGAAAAAGGGACAAAAACGCGUCUGGUAUUUUGUUAAAUUUAAAGGUUACCCCCCCGAAGCCAACGAAUGGGUUUCGGCAAAACAUUCCAGAAUGGAAAGAUUAGUCCGGGAGUUUCAUGCAGCGCAAAAAGCUGCUACAGUGCUACAGAAUUCUCCACCCCCUUCUUCCUCACCCUUGCCUGACCCCAACCUUCCAGCGAAGAAAAACAAGAAAAAAAGGAAGAAGCCUGAAAAAAAUGUGCUUAGGCGUAGCAAAUGCUAUGUGUGCAAACAGAAAGGACAUCGGUCCUCCAAAUUUUGUAGACAAAUUGUUUAAUUUUAUUACUUUUUAUGAUAUUUUACUUUUUUUGUUCAACCAAGAUUUUUAAAAACAGUUUCACGAUAGGUAUUCUGUCUAGAUUGAGAUGAUAUUAGUUUCCCUAUAAGUAUUCUGUCUAGAUUGAGAGGAUAUUAGUUUCCCAGAGGAAUCUAGGGUGAGGCAAGUAAUAUUUUCAUAAUCACAUUUCACUAACUAAUUAAUUAUUAAUUAAAUUAUUAUUAAGCAGGAUUAUGUUAUAAAUUAUUAUGUUUUCUUAAACACCAGACAGAAUUCUCCACCCCCUUCUUCCUCACCCUUGCCUAACCCCAUCCUUCCAGCGAAGAAAAACAAGAAAAAAAGGAAGAAGCCUGAAAAAAAUGUGCUUAGGCGUAGCAAAUGCUAUGUGGUAAGUCUUAUUUCAGAAAAUAUUACAUCUUUUUAUAAUUUAAAAUUUAGAUUUUUUUUACAGUGCAAACAGAAAGGACAUCGGUCCUCCAAAUUUUGUAGACAAAUUGUUUAAUUUUAUUACUUUUUAUGAUAUUUUACUUGUUUUGUUCAACCAAGAUUUUCAAAAACAGUUUCCCGAUAGGUAUUCUGUCUAGAUUGAGAUGAUAUUAGUUUCCCUAUAAGUAUUCUGUCUAGAUUGAGAGGAUAUUAGUUUCCCGGAGGAAUCUAGGGUGAGGCAAGUAAUAUUUUCAUAAUCACAUUUCACUAACUAAUAGAGGGAAUUCACAUCGCGGUUUCGCGUGUCAAUUGUUUCGAUGUCCGCCAU